UAGGGGGUGCUUCCAUCUGGAAGAAUCUGGAGACAGGUGCUGCAUGGCUGUCGUCAGCUCGUGUCGUGAGAUGUUGGGUUAAGUCCCGCAACGAGCGCAACCCUUGCCUUUAGUUGCCAGCAGUUCGGCUGGGCACUCUAAAGGGACUGCCGGUGUUAAACCGGAGGAAGGUGGGGAUGACGUCAAGUCCUCAUGGCCUUUAUGACCAGGGCUACACACGUGCUACAAUGGUCGGUACAAAGGGUUGCCAAGCCGCGAGGUGGAGCUAAUCCCAUAAAACCGAUCGUAGUCCGGAUCGCAGUCUGCAACUCGACUGCGUGAAGUCGGAAUCGCUAGUAAUCGUGAAUCAGAAUGUCACGGUGAAUACGUUCCCGGGCCUU
This 380-nucleotide ribosomal RNA is filed under the name uncultured Pseudomonas sp. RNAcentral's name for it is "bacterial SSU rRNA". It matches the Rfam family "Bacterial small subunit ribosomal RNA", at positions 1005 to 1382 of the family's 1533-position model. Lineage: Bacteria; Pseudomonadati; Pseudomonadota; Gammaproteobacteria; Pseudomonadales; Pseudomonadaceae. The record is from RNAcentral.